CCUGGUGACAAUAGCUGAGUGGAACCACCCGAUCCCAUUCCGAACUCGGAAGUGAAACGCUUAUGCGCCGAUGGUAGUGUGCAUCCGCAUGCGAGAGUAGGUCAUCGCCAGGG
This 113-nucleotide ribosomal RNA is filed under the name Luteimonas viscosa. Lineage: Bacteria; Pseudomonadati; Pseudomonadota; Gammaproteobacteria; Lysobacterales; Lysobacteraceae. The record is from RNAcentral.